This 253-nucleotide ribosomal RNA is filed under the name uncultured bacterium. Its description in RNAcentral is "partial 16S ribosomal RNA". It matches the Rfam family "Bacterial small subunit ribosomal RNA", at positions 524 to 776 of the family's 1533-position model. The record is from RNAcentral.
GACAGAGGCCUCGAGCGUUAGGCGGAAUCACUGGGCUUAAAGCGUGUGUAGGCGGGCCCGUCAGUACCUUGUGAAAUCCCACGGCUCAACCGUGGAACCGCUGGGUAUACUGCGGGUCUUGGGCCGACUAGGGGCAGCCGGAACAAGCGGUGGAGCGGUGAAAUGCGUAGAUAUCGCGUGGAACGCCGAAGGUGAAAACAGGCUGCUGGGGUCGCGCCGACGCUGAGACACGAAAGCCAGGGGAGCAAACGGG